AACGCACAUUGCGCCCUGCGGUACUCCGCGGGGCAUGCCUGUUCGAGCGUCAUAUCAACCCUCAAGCUAGGCUUGGUGUUGGGGAGACCACGUCGUCGUGGGCCCCGAAAUGCAGUGGCGGUCCUGACCGUGGCCCGAGCGUAGUAGAAUGCCUCGCCGGGAACCGCGAGCGGGCGCCUGCCGUAAAAGCAGCUAACCCACCCGGGUGCGCACAUCUUACAAGGUUGACCUCGAAUCAGGUAGGAAUACCCGCUGAACUUAA
Molecule: unclassified non-coding RNA, 262 nt
Filed under: uncultured fungus
Lineage: Eukaryota; Fungi
Description: partial contains 5.8S ribosomal RNA, internal transcribed spacer 2, and large subunit ribosomal RNA
Rfam family: 5.8S ribosomal RNA (bases 1-52)
Source: RNAcentral